Molecule: long non-coding RNA, 355 nt
Filed under: Nicotiana benthamiana
Lineage: Eukaryota; Viridiplantae; Streptophyta; Magnoliopsida; Solanales; Solanaceae
Description: long non-coding RNA (NBEN_LNC022626)
Source: RNAcentral
UUAAACUACGGUAACUAACCUGUGGGGUAAUUACAUUUUAACAUGAUGAUAAUUACAUAAUUAACUAUGAAUAUAGUAUUUUUCUCCUUAACCUCAGAUAUCUUUCGUGUCACGGUGAAAUCUGUGAACAACAAUAAUAACUGUAGCAUACAGGUACAGAGAGACAUAAAUAAAUGACAGAUUGUCCUUUCGAGCCUAACAAAUGAUUCAAUAACAAUUGAUAAAACAUAUCGAGCUACAUAUAAUAUUUUUUUCAAUCAAAGAAACCCAAGUGGAAAAGUAACGACCAAAUUAAAGAACCUUCUAGAAGCUACGAAGGUAACAGAAAUUUACGCAAAUAUUAAUGGCGACUUGG